This 954-nucleotide long non-coding RNA is filed under the name Homo sapiens (human). Its description in RNAcentral is "HSALNT0183315". The record is from RNAcentral. Lineage: Eukaryota; Metazoa; Chordata; Mammalia; Primates; Hominidae.
CUUUGCUAAGCUCUUGCAUGCCUCCCCGCAACCCCUAUUUCAUCCUCGAAUUACCUUGAUAGGGUAGCUGUGAUUAUGUCUGUCUUACAGAUGAGGAAACUGAAGGCUAGGCCAGUUAAAUAGCUUGUCCUAGGUCACACAACUACUGAGUGAUAGACGCAGUUCUCAGAUCUGACUUGAAAUCCUGCACUCAUUCUGCUGUAUUCACAGGAAGAGGAGAUUGGUUACAGACAAGCACAGAAGGAAGACCACACGAAGACACAGAAUGGAGGCUCUCUCUAUGCUACACAGAGAAGUCUCAGAAGAAACCAAUCUUGCUGGCACCUUGAUCUCAGGCUUCCAGCCUCCAGAAUUGUGAGAAAAUAAAGUUCUGUUGUUUGUCACCCCAUCUGUGGUAGGUUGUUAUGGCAGCCUGAGGAAACUAAUACAGGUGUCCUAAUGGAAAGGCCCAUGCUCUCAUAGCUGCUUGGCAGCCUCCAGGGUGAGUAAGAUGUGGCUGGAACGCAAGCACGCAUUGUCUGCAAGUCCUCAGCUGCUGAGGGAAGGCUGGACCUUGUGCUUGGCUGCAGGGUGUGGCCUCUGACACGGAAGCACUUUUCCAGCCCUGGGUGACUCUUGGAGUGAGUAUUAUCACAGACCAUGUCUGCACAAUUUACAUCCACCAAUGAAUUAACUUCUAUUUACAAGACUUGAAGAAAUGCACCAAGGUCGGCUGAAUGAAAACUCAACGUCAGUAGCAUUUUGUAAUUGAUGAUGAUGAUGAUGAAUUAAUUUGUGUACAAUGACUAUCAAUACCUAUUAUCAAUAUCCAUUACUUUUUUGUUUGUUUAUUUGUUUUUUUGGGUUUUCUUGUUUUGUUUUGUUUUUUUUUUUUUGCAUGUCUGAACUCUCUAUCUUGGUUGUAGCCUCAUUGUGGACAAGGAGUACAAUAACAUACUCAAUUUUGCAUCCUUU